Molecule: ribosomal RNA, 924 nt
Filed under: Phycicoccus sp. S3H7
Lineage: Bacteria; Bacillati; Actinomycetota; Actinomycetes; Micrococcales; Intrasporangiaceae
Description: bacterial SSU rRNA
Rfam family: Bacterial small subunit ribosomal RNA
Source: RNAcentral
ACGUAGGGUGCGAGCGUGUCCGGAAUUAUUGGGCGUAAAGAGCUGUAGGCGGUUUGUCGCGUCUGCCGUGAAAAUUCGAGGCUCAACCUCGAACUUGCGGUGGGUACGGGCAGACUAGAGUGUGGUAGGGGAGACUGGAAUUCCUGGUGUAGCGGUGAAAUGCGCAGAUAUCAGGAGGAACACCGAUGGCGAAGGCAGGUCUCUGGGCCACUACUGACGCUGAGAAGCGAAAGCAUGGGGAGCGAACAGGAUUAGAUACCCUGGUAGUCCAUGCCGUAAACGUUGGGAACUAGGUGUGGGUCUCAUUCCACGAGAUCCGUGCCGCAGCUAACGCAUUAAGUUCCCCGCCUGGGGAGUACGGCCGCAAGGCUAAAACUCAAAGGAAUUGACGGGGGCCCGCACAAGCGGCGGAGCAUGCGGAUUAAUUCGAUGCAACGCGAAGAACCUUACCAAGGCUUGACAUAUGCGAGAACGCGGCAGAGAUGUCGUUCUCUUUGGACACUCGUAUACAGGUGGUGCAUGGUUGUCGUCAGCUCGUGUCGUGAGAUGUUGGGUUAAGUCCCGCAACGAGCGCAACCCUCGUUCUAUGUUGCCAGCACGUGAUGGUGGGGACUCAUAGGAGACUGCCGGGGUCAACUCGGAGGAAGGUGGGGAUGACGUCAAAUCAUCAUGCCCCUUAUGUCUUGGGCUUCACGCAUGCUACAAUGGCCGGUACAAAGGGCUGCGAAACCGCGAGGUGGAGCGAAUCCCAAAAAACCGGUCUCAGUUCGGAUUGGGGUCUGCAACUCGACCCCAUGAAGUCGGAGUCGCUAGUAAUCGCAGAUCAGCAACGCUGCGGUGAAUACGUUCCCGGGCCUUGUACACACCGCCCGUCAAGUCACGAAAGUCGGUAACACCCGAAGCCGGUGGCCCAACUCGUAAGAG